RNAcentral lists this ribosomal RNA (301 nucleotides) under uncultured bacterium. RNAcentral's name for it is "partial 16S ribosomal RNA". It matches the Rfam family "Bacterial small subunit ribosomal RNA", at positions 509 to 807 of the family's 1533-position model. The record is from RNAcentral.
CAGCAGCCGCGGGAAUACCGAGGGUGCAAGCGUUAAUCGGAAUUACUGGGCGUAAAGCGCGCGUAGGUGGUUUGUUAAGUUGGAUGUGAAAGCCCCGGGCUCAACCUGGGAACUGCAUCCAAAACUGGCAAGCUAGAGUACGGUAGAGGGUGGUGGAAUUUCCUGUGUAGCGGUGAAAUGCGUAGAUAUAGGAAGGAACACCAGUGGCGAAGGCGACCACCUGGACUGAUACUGACACUGAGGUGCGAAAGCGUGGGGAGCAAACAGGAUUAGAUACCCCCGUAGUCCCUGUCUCUUAUAC